CCAUGGUAACCACAUGAUGAAAAAUGCAAAAUGUGGACACGUUAGAAUAAAUGCAACAGGACUCAGUGGAAUGUGCUACUCAGGCACUGGAGACAUAUGUCAUAGAAAAGGACAUUGUGGCCCAUAUCCAGAAGAAAUUUGACAGGAAGUACAAUCCCAUCCGGUAUUGCAUCAUGUGGGGGAGCCUAGGCAAUUCUGUCACACGUGAAGCCAAACACUUCAUCUACUUCUACCUGGGCCAGCUGGCUAUUUUUUUGUUCAAAUCUGGUU
RNAcentral lists this long non-coding RNA (270 nucleotides) under Homo sapiens (human). RNAcentral describes it as "non-protein coding lnc-MME-8:1". The record is from RNAcentral. Lineage: Eukaryota; Metazoa; Chordata; Mammalia; Primates; Hominidae.